RNAcentral lists this unclassified non-coding RNA (291 nucleotides) under Hevea brasiliensis (rubber tree). Lineage: Eukaryota; Viridiplantae; Streptophyta; Magnoliopsida; Malpighiales; Euphorbiaceae. The record is from RNAcentral.
GGAAAUCCAAAUCACUGAAAGAACCACAAGCUGGCAACAUCUUUAUAGCCACUUUUACGUCGUGAAUCAUCCCCUUGUAAACACUUCCGAAUUUUCCUUCUCCGAUCUUUGAAGAUGGAUCAAAAUUUUGUGUAGCCUCUAUAAUGUCAGAGAAAGAUAUUGAGAAGAAGUUUUUGAUACAAUACUCAUCGGCAUCAUCUUGUACCAAUUUUCUAAAUCUGUUAACUUGUUUGAUUGCAUUAUCACGCUCUAUCUGCAUCUCAUCCCUCUGCUUCCUAAAGGAUAUUAGGA